GACGAACGCUGGCGGCGUGCUUAACACAUGCAAGUCGAACGGAAAGGCCAUGCUUUUGUGGGGUGCUCGAGUGGCGAACGGGUGAGUAAAACGUGAGUAACCUGCCCUUGACUUUGGGAUAACUUCAGGAAACUGGGGCUAAUACCGGAUAGGAGCUCCUGAUGCAUGGUGGGGGUUGGAAAGUUUCGGCGGUGGGGGCUGGACUCGCGGCUUAUCAGCUUGUUGGUGGGGUAGUGGCUUACCAAGGGUUUGACGGGUAGCCGGCCUGAGAGGGUGGCCGGCCACAUUGGGACUGAGGUACGGCCCAGACGCCUACGUGAGGCAGCAGUGGGGAACAUUGCACAAUGGGCGGAAGCCUGAUGCAGCAACGCCGCGUUCGGGAUGACGGCCUUCGGGUUGUAAACCGCUUUCGCCUGUGACGAAGAGUUAGUGACGGUAAUGGGUAAAGAAGCACCGGCUAACUACGUG
Molecule: ribosomal RNA, 468 nt
Filed under: uncultured bacterium
Lineage: Bacteria
Description: partial 16S ribosomal RNA
Rfam family: Bacterial small subunit ribosomal RNA
Source: RNAcentral